GAUGAACGCUGGCGGCGUGCCUAAUACAUGCAAGUCGAGCGAACAGACGAGGAGCUUGCUCCUCUGACGUUAGCGGCGGACGGGUGAGUAACACGUGGAUAACCUACCUAUAAGACUGGGAUAACUUCGGGAAACCGGAGCUAAUACCGGAUAAUAUAUUGAACCGCAUGGUUCAAUAGUGAAAGACGGUUUUGCUGUCACUUAUAGAUGGAUCCGCGCCGCAUUAGCUAGUUGGUAAGGUAACGGCUUACCAAGGCAACGAUGCGUAGCCGACCUGAGAGGGUGAUCGGCCACACUGGAACUGAGGCACGGUCCAGACUCCUACGGGAGGCAGCAGUAGGGAAUCUUCCGCAAGGGGCGAAAGCCUGACGGAGCAACGCCGCGUGAGUGAUGAAGGUCUGCGGAUCGUAAAACUCUGUUAUUAGGGAAGAACAAAUGUGUAGUAACUAUGCACGUCUUGACGGUACCUAAUCAGAAAGCCACGGCUAACUACGUG
RNAcentral lists this ribosomal RNA (496 nucleotides) under uncultured bacterium. RNAcentral's name for it is "partial 16S ribosomal RNA". It matches the Rfam family "Bacterial small subunit ribosomal RNA", at positions 28 to 507 of the family's 1533-position model. The record is from RNAcentral.